GACGAACGCUGGCGGCGUGCUUAACACAUGCGAGUCGAACGGAAAGGCCCUGCUUUUGUGGGGUGCUCGAGUGGCGAACGGGUGAGUAACACGUGAGUAACCUGCCCUUGACUUUGGGAUAACUUCAGGAAACUGGGGCUAAUACCGGAUAGGAGCUCCUGCUGCAUGGUGGGGGUUGGAAAGUUUCGGCGGUUGGGGAUGGACUCGCGGCUUAUCAGCUUGUUGGUGGGGUAGUGGCUUACCAAGGCUUUGACGGGUAGCCGGCCUGAGAGGGUGACCGGCCACAUUGGGCCUGAGAUACGGCCCAUACUCCUACGGGAGGCAGGGGUGGGGACUAUUGCACAAUGGGCGGAAGCCUGAUGCAGCAACUCCGCGUGCGGGAUGACGGCCUUCGGGUUGUAAACCGCUUUCGCCUGUGACGAAGCGUGAGUGACGGUAAUGGGUAAAGAAGCACCGGCUAACUACGU
RNAcentral lists this ribosomal RNA (467 nucleotides) under uncultured bacterium. RNAcentral describes it as "partial 16S ribosomal RNA". It matches the Rfam family "Bacterial small subunit ribosomal RNA", at positions 28 to 506 of the family's 1533-position model. The record is from RNAcentral.